Molecule: ribosomal RNA, 492 nt
Filed under: uncultured bacterium
Lineage: Bacteria
Description: partial 16S ribosomal RNA
Rfam family: Bacterial small subunit ribosomal RNA
Source: RNAcentral
AGUGAACGCUGGCGGUAGGCCUAACACAUGCAAGUCGAACGGCAGCACAGUAAGAUCUUGCUCUUACGGGUGGCGAGUCGCGUACGGGUGAGGAAUACAUCGUACUCUACUUUUUCGUGGGGGAUAACGUAAGGAAACUUACGCUAAUACCGCAUACGACCUACCGUUGAAAGCAGGGGAUCUUCGGACCUUGCGCGAAUGAAUGAGCCGAUGUCGGAUUGGCUAGUUGGCGGGGUAAAUGCCCACCAAGUCGACGAUCCGUAGCUGGUCUGAGAGGAUGAUAGGCCACACUGGAACUGAGACACGGUCCAGACUCCUAAGGGAGGCAGCAGUGGGGAAUAUUGGACAAUGGGCGCAAGCCUGAUACAGUCAUACCGCGUGGGUGAAGAAGGCCUUCGGGUUGUAAAGCCCUUUUGUUGGGAAAGAAAAGCAGCAGGUUAAUACCCAGCUGUUCUGACGGUACCCAAAGAAUAAGCACCGGCUAACUUCGUG